RNAcentral lists this ribosomal RNA (919 nucleotides) under uncultured Bacteroidota bacterium. RNAcentral describes it as "bacterial SSU rRNA". It matches the Rfam family "Bacterial small subunit ribosomal RNA", at positions 8 to 916 of the family's 1533-position model. Lineage: Bacteria; Pseudomonadati; Bacteroidota. The record is from RNAcentral.
CAGACUUUGAUUCUGGCUCAGGGUGAACGCUAGCUACAGGCUUAACACAUGCAAGUCGAGGGGAAACGAUAGAGAAAGCUUGCUUUUUCUAGGCGUCGACCGGCGCACGGGUGAGUAACGCGUAUCCAACCUGCCCAUCACUUGGGGAUAACCUUGCGAAAGUAAGACUAAUACCCAAUGACGUCUCUAGAAGACAUCUGAAAGAGAUUAAAGAUUUAUCGGUGAUGGAUGGGGAUGCGCCUGAUUAGCUUGUUGGCGGGGUAACGGCCCACCAAGGCGACGAUCAGUAGGGGUUCUGAGAGGAAGGUCCCCCACAUUGGAACUGAGACACGGUCCAAACUCCUACGGGAGGCAGCAGUGAGGAAUAUUGGUCAAUGGACGAGAGUCUGAACCAGCCAAGUAGCGUGCAGGAAGACGGCCCUAUGGGUUGUAAACUGCUUUUAUAAGGGAAUAAAGUGAGUCUCGUGAGACUUUUUGCAUGUACCUUAUGAAUAAGGACCGGCUAAUUCCGUGCCAGCAGCCGCGGUAAUACGGAAGGUCCGGGCGUUAUCCGGAUUUAUUGGGUUUAAAGGGAGCGUAGGCCGGAGAUUAAGCGUGUUGUGAAAUGUAGACGCUCAACGUCUGCACUGCAGCGCGAACUGGUUUCCUUGAGUACGCACAAAGUGGGCGGAAUUCGUGGUGUAGCGGUGAAAUGCUUAGAUAUCACGAAGAACUCCGAUUGCGAAGGCAGCUCACUGGAGCGCAACUGACGCUGAAGCUCGAAAGUGCGGGUAUCGAACAGGAUUAGAUACCCUGGUAGUCCGCACGGUAAACGAUGGAUGCCCGCUGUUGGUCUGAAUAGGUCAGCGGCCUAGCGAAAGCAUUAAGCAUCCCACCUGGGGAGUACGCCGGCAACGGUGCAACUCAAAGGAAUUGACGG